This 977-nucleotide ribosomal RNA is filed under the name Rhodanobacter sp. RNAcentral's name for it is "bacterial SSU rRNA". It matches the Rfam family "Bacterial small subunit ribosomal RNA", at positions 448 to 1421 of the family's 1533-position model. Lineage: Bacteria; Pseudomonadati; Pseudomonadota; Gammaproteobacteria; Lysobacterales; Rhodanobacteraceae. The record is from RNAcentral.
AUUGGCUAAUAACCGAUGGGGCUGACGGUACCCGAGGAAUAAGCACCUGGCUAACUUCGUCCCAGCAGCCGCGGUAAUACGAAGGGUGCAAGCGUUAAUCGGAAUUACUGGGCGUAAAGGGUGCGUAGGCGGUUUGUUAAGUCUGUCGUGAAAUCCCCGGGCUCAACCUGGGAAUGGCGAUGGAUACUGGCAAGCUAGAGUGUGUCAGAGGAUGGUGGAAUUUCCGGUGUAGCGGUGAAAUGCGUAGAGAUCGGAAGGAACAUCAGUGGCGAAGGCGGCCAUCUGGGACAACACUGACGCUGAAGCACGAAAGCGUGGGGAGCAAACAGGAUUAGAUACCCUGGUAGUCCACGCCCUAAACGAUGCGAACUGGAUGUUGGUCUCAACUCGGAGAUCAGUGUCGAAGCUAACGCGUUAAGUUCGCCGCCUGGGGAGUACGGUCGCAAGACUGAAACUCAAAGGAAUUGACGGGGGCCCGCACAAGCGGUGGAGUAUGUGGUUUAAUUCGAUGCAACGCGAAGAACCUUACCUGGCCUUGACAUGUCCGGAAUCCUGCAGAGAUGCGGGAGUGCCUUCGGGAAUCGGAACACAGGUGCUGCAUGGCUGUCGUCAGCUCGUGUCGUGAGAUGUUGGGUUAAGUCCCGCAACGAGCGCAACCCUUGUCCUUAGUUGCCAGCGAGUAAUGUCGGGAACUCUAAGGAGACUGCCGGUGACAAACCGGAGGAAGGUGGGGAUGACGUCAAGUCCUCAUGGCCCUUACGGCCAGGGCUACACACGUACUACAAUGGUCGGUACAGAGGGUUGCAAUACCGCGAGGUGGAGCCAAUCCCAGAAAGCCGAUCCCAGUCCGGAUCGAAGUCUGCAACUCGACUUCGUGAAGUCGGAAUCGCUAGUAAUCGCGGAUCAGCUAUGCCGCGGUGAAUACGUUCCCGGGCCUUGUACACACCGCCCGUCACACCAUGGGAGUGAGUUGCUCC